This 253-nucleotide ribosomal RNA is filed under the name uncultured bacterium. RNAcentral describes it as "partial 16S ribosomal RNA". It matches the Rfam family "Bacterial small subunit ribosomal RNA", at positions 524 to 776 of the family's 1533-position model. The record is from RNAcentral.
UACGUAGGGUGCAAGCGUUGUCCGGAAUUAUUGGGCGUAAAGAGCUCGUAGGCGGUUUGUCGCGUCUGGUGUGAAAAUCCAGGGCUUAACCCUGGACCUGCAUCGGGUACGGGCAGACUAGAGUGCGGUAGGGGAGAUCGGAAUUCCUGGUGUAGCGGUGAAAUGCGUAGAUAUCGAGAGGAACACCAGUGGCGAAGGCGAGUCCCUGGACAACACCUGACACUGAGGCACGAAAGCCGGGGGAGCAAACAGG